GGGCGCAAGCCUGAUGCAGCCAUGCCGCGUGUAUGAAGAAGGCCUUCGGGUUGUAAAGUACUUUCAGUCGUGAGGAAGGCGGCGUCGUUAAUAGCGGCGUUGUUUGACGUUAGCGACAGAAGAAGCACCGGCUAACUCCGUGCCAGCAGCCGCGGUAAUACGGAGGGUGCGAGCGUUAAUCGGAAUUACUGGGCGUAAAGCGCAUGCAGGUGGUUUGUUAAGUCAGAUGUGAAAGCCCGGGGCUCAACCUCGGAAUAGCAUUUGAAACUGGCAGACUAGAGUACUGUAGAGGGGGGUAGAAUUUCAGGUGUAGCGGUGAAAUGCGUAGAGAUCUGAAGGAAUACCGGUGGCGAAGGCGGCCCCCUGGACAGAUACUGACACUCAGAUGCGAAAGCGUGGGGAGCAAACAGGAUUAGAUACCCUGGUAGUCCACGCCGUAAACGAUGUCUACUUGGAGGUUGUGGCCUUGAGCCGUGGCUUUCGGAGCUAACGCGUUAAGUAGACCGCCUGG
This 511-nucleotide ribosomal RNA is filed under the name Vibrio alginolyticus. RNAcentral describes it as "bacterial SSU rRNA". It matches the Rfam family "Bacterial small subunit ribosomal RNA", at positions 373 to 876 of the family's 1533-position model. The record is from RNAcentral. Lineage: Bacteria; Pseudomonadati; Pseudomonadota; Gammaproteobacteria; Vibrionales; Vibrionaceae.